CUCCCAUUCUCUCUUCCAAUCAACUUCAUUAUCAACAGUACUGUGUGUCUCUUGUACAAAGAUAACGUCUAAUUUUUUAAGGGAACACAGUCUGAAAAAUGUAGCUCUUUUUCUUUCAUCUCUAGCUCCAUUCAAAUUUAGACUGCCUAUUUUUAACUCACUCAUAAAACAAAAGAAGAAAAGAAAACCAAAAGAGAAACAAGUAAACAAAUAUGAAAAACUAAACAUAUUCGCCAUCUUCUAACUGUCUUCUAACUUUUAAAACCAGUUUCUUUAAGCGAAACCUUUCUUGAUCAGUAAAGAUUUUUUCCCCUGCACUUUCAGAACUUUUUUGAAAAUUCUUAACUGAAUCAAUAAAAAGUUGCAGAUCAGGAAACGCACUCUCAAGUUUAACAUUCCUAGCUCCUUUAGUGCUCUUAAGAAACUUCUUAAUACUCAACAUAGAGUAGCCCCCUCUUUCCAGGGGCAAAGAUUGUGAGGAAACUAAAGAUUCUGCAUCAGAGUCUACCUCAAUGUCACUAUAAGAAGUUUGGGAGCAAUCAUGAAGAGGAAAAAUUUUCGUUUUUCCAGAGAACUGAAACUCAUCUCUUGCUGUUUUUCCCUUAACAUUAUCAUCGUCAAAUUUGUCAUCCACCAGCAUCUCACUUUCUUCAGUCAAAGGAUAUUCCACUUCCUCUACUUCUUUCUGAGUGCUAUUUCUGGCCUUUUCCAUAUCAUGCUGUCGACUGUUCUUAACUGGAGAAGGAGCCUGAAAAAGCUCUUCAUUCCUCUGUGUUGAUCUUUUAUUUUGUUCAAGCUUCUGAGCUUUGUGUGAUUUUUCCGUUUUUAACCCGUCUGAUUCAUUACGUUUUUGUCCCUGAGAAAGUUGUAGUUCAUUCUGUUUUUUCCCCUGAGUUUUAUCCGAUUCACUCUGUUUCUGUCCCUGAAUUUCAUAUGACUCACUUUGUUUUUGUCCCCGAGUUUCAAUUAACUCACUUUGUUUUUGUCCCUGAGUUUCAUUUAAUUCACUUUGUUUUUGUCCCCGAGUUUCAAUUAACUCACUUUGUUUUUGUCCCCGAGUUUCAAUUAACUCACUUUGUUUUUGUCCCUGAGUUUCAAUUAACUCACUUUGUUUUUGUCCCUGAUUUCAUUUAAUUCACUUUGUUUUUGUCCCUGAGUUUCAAUUAACUCACUUUGUUUUUGUCCCCGAGUUUCAAUUAACUCACUUUGUUUUUGUCCCUGAUUUCAUUUAAUUCACUUUGUUUUUGUCCCUAAGUUUCAAUUAACUCACUUUGUUUUUGUCCCCGAGUUUCAAUUAACUCACUUUGUUUUUGUCCCCG
Cyprinus carpio carpio is the source of this 1319-nucleotide long non-coding RNA. The record is from Ensembl. Lineage: Eukaryota; Metazoa; Chordata; Actinopteri; Cypriniformes; Cyprinidae.